Molecule: ribosomal RNA, 752 nt
Filed under: uncultured bacterium
Lineage: Bacteria
Description: bacterial SSU rRNA
Rfam family: Bacterial small subunit ribosomal RNA
Source: RNAcentral
UAGAGUUUGAUCCUGGCUCAGAACGAACGCUGGCGGCAGGCUUAACACAUGCAAGUCGAACGCCCCGCAAGGGGAGUGGCAGACGGGUGAGUAACGCGUGGGAACGUACCCUUUACUACGGAAUAACUCAGGGAAACUUGUGCUAAUACCGUAUGUGCCCUUCGGGGGAAAGAUUUAUCGGUAAAGGAUCGGCCCGCGUUGGAUUAGCUAGUUGGUGGGGUAAAGGCCUACCAAGGCGACGAUCCAUAGCUGGUCUGAGAGGAUGAUCAGCCACAUUGGGACUGAGACACGGCCCAAACUCCUACGGGAGGCAGCAGUGGGGAGUAUUGGACAAUGGGCGCAAGCCUGAUCCAGCCAUGCCGCGUGAGUGAUGAAGGCCCUAGGGUUGUAAAGCUCUUUCACCGGUGAAGAUAAUGACGGUAACCGGAGAAGAAGCCCCGGCUAACUUCGUGCCAGCAGCCGCGGUAAUACGAAGGGGGCUAGCGUUGUUCGGAAUUACUGGGCGUAAAGCGCACGUAGGCGGGUAUUUAAGUCAGGGGUGAAAUCCCAGAGCUCAACUCUGGAACUGCCUUUGAUACUGGGUACCUAGAGUAUGGAAGAGGUAAGUGGAAUUCCGAGUGUAGAGGUGAAAUUCGUAGAUAUUCGGAGGAACACCAGUGGCGAAGGCGGCUUACUGGUCCAUUACUGACGCUGAGGUGCGAAAGCGUGGGGAGCAAACAGGAAAAGAUACCCUGGUAGUCCACGCCGUAAAC